AAAGAUGACAUUGUGACUUCUGUGAUGGAUCACCCACCUCGAGCGAGUUUAAAGUCUCUGUAAAUUGAACUUCUCAUUGUAGAGAUAUGAGAAAACUGCAGUCGCCUUCAAGCUCCUCUCUGCCUCGCCACACUCUCAUGCCCGGUCCUUGUUUUCAUCCUCUCAUCCGUUCAGUGAGGGAAGGCCAUUGCAGACAAUCUAUAAUGAAAGGGUCACAGAAAUCCUUUCAAGACCACAGAACAGGAAAAAAAGCACAAUGUCCUCAUUUUGUUUUCUUAAAUGCUUCGCUACACGAUGAAGGAGUUCGACUGAAACACGAAAGGAAGUUUGCCAAUCAGAAGAAAGUACUUCACAAUCGGAACAUUGGACAGAGCUUAAAUGUUUCAGUAAAUCAGAGCAAUGGGACUGCCAUUAAAACUCAAGCCACCAGGAAAUGAGGUAUAAAGAAAACUGAAGACUGAAGCCCAACUAUCCUGCAAUGUUCAACACGCCCUACAAUACAAACAAGGAGCUUAAGUUAUUCUUAGAGUCACACCAGUAAUAAAAGAUAAAA
Acanthopagrus latus (yellowfin seabream) is the source of this 553-nucleotide long non-coding RNA. RefSeq lists it as uncharacterized. The transcript has 3 exons. NCBI's taxonomy places the organism in Eukaryota, Metazoa, Chordata, Actinopteri, Spariformes, Sparidae. The record is from RefSeq and is a predicted model, not a curated record.